UAUUGGUCAAUGGGCUUACGCCUGAACCAGCCAAGUCGCGUGAGGGAAGACUGCCCUAUGGGUUGUAAACCUCUUUUGUCAGGGAGCAAUUGGCGCUACGUGUAGCGUUAUCGAGAGUACCUGAAGAAAAAGCAUCGGCUAACUCCGUGCCAGCAGCCGCGGUAAUACGGAGGAUGCGAGCGUUAUCCGGAUUUAUUGGGUGUAACGGGUGCGCAGGCGGUCUGUUAAGUCAGCGGUCAAAGCCCGGGGCUCAACCCCGGCCCGCCGUUGAAACUGGCAGUCUCGAGUUGGAGAGAAGUAUGCGGAAUGCGCGGUGUAGCGGUGAAAUGCAUAGAUAUCGCGCAGAACUCCAAUUGCGAAGGCAGCAUGCCGGCUCCACACUGACGCUGAGGCACGAAAGCGUGGGUAUCG
Molecule: ribosomal RNA, 411 nt
Filed under: uncultured bacterium
Lineage: Bacteria
Description: bacterial SSU rRNA
Rfam family: Bacterial small subunit ribosomal RNA
Source: RNAcentral